GGUGAAGUAGAAGUGCUAGAUUUGGGAUCAGAAGACCAGGGUUCAAAUCCCAGCUUUACCA
Molecule: transfer RNA, 61 nt
Filed under: Monodelphis domestica (gray short-tailed opossum)
Lineage: Eukaryota; Metazoa; Chordata; Mammalia; Didelphimorphia; Didelphidae
Rfam family: tRNA
About the family: Transfer RNA (tRNA) molecules are approximately 80 nucleotides in length.
Source: Rfam by way of RNAcentral